AUGGACACGCGCAUUACGGAAUGCGUGAUUGAAAUCAUACGGUUACAAGGGGAGGAGCACGGUAAGGGUCAAGGGAGCGCGCAUACGGGAUUUUGUGGCAACAUUAUAUUUCCAUUUAAUCAAAACAAUUUUUUUAUGUUAUUAUCCUCUUCUCUCUCCGUGUCUCAAACUCAUUUCCUCUUUUCUUUCUUAACAACCCCCAAAUAG
Vicia faba (fava bean) is the source of this 207-nucleotide non-coding RNA. The record is from the annotation of a GenBank genome assembly. Lineage: Eukaryota; Viridiplantae; Streptophyta; Magnoliopsida; Fabales; Fabaceae.